AGGACGAACGCUGGCGGCGUGCUUAACACAUGCAAGUCGAGCGGUGAUCCUCCUUCGGGAGGUGAUCAGCGGCGAACGGGUGAGUAACACGUGGGCAACCUGCCCCUCACACUGGGAUAAACCUCGGGAAACCGGGGCUAAUACCGGAUACGACCUCGAGCGGCAUCUCUUGAGGUGGAAAGCUCCGACGGUGAGGGAUGGGCCCGCGGCCUAUCAGCUUGUUGGUGGGUAAUGGCCUACCAAGGCGACGACGGGUA
This 257-nucleotide ribosomal RNA is filed under the name uncultured bacterium. Its description in RNAcentral is "partial small subunit ribosomal RNA". It matches the Rfam family "Bacterial small subunit ribosomal RNA", at positions 26 to 285 of the family's 1533-position model. The record is from RNAcentral.